Molecule: long non-coding RNA, 738 nt
Filed under: Arabidopsis lyrata
Lineage: Eukaryota; Viridiplantae; Streptophyta; Magnoliopsida; Brassicales; Brassicaceae
Description: long non-coding RNA (ALYR_LNC002248)
Source: RNAcentral
GAAAGUGUCUGAUCAUAAUAUAAAAAGGUACUCUCAAAAAUAAUAUUUUACAUAUAUGCUUCGAAAUUUGUCAGAUUUGAAUUAGCUUAAUUUAACGAAUCCAAUUGCAUGCUCGUUCACUAAAAUUGAUCACCAAGAUCGAAGACCUACGCCAAUUUAGAAAUGUUAGAUUCUAAUUUCUACGCUCCACAUUAUCAUCACCAUCAUCAAAUUUAAUUUAGCGCAUUAGAGGGGAAAAAAAAAUGAAAAGAAAGGAGAACAACAAAGAUAUUUCGGUCAAACAAAAAAGACUGUACGUGUGUAAUGUAGCAAUAAAGAUUCCUCUCCCUAACGGAAAGGACUGUUUUAUAUCAGUCUGCAACUUUUACAGCUGGGAAUGGAGGAAACUUUUUUAGUUUGAGUUGUUUGUUUUCUUCCUUCAUCUUCAUCACCUACACUCUUUUUUUUAGGGUUUCCAUUUUUAGUCGCUUCUCCUCUUUUCCAGUCUUCAUAUCUUCUUCUCUUAUGAGCUCUUUUCCACUUUUCAUUUCGUCUGUGUUCUCUCUCUCCUGAAUCCAUGGCCGAACCACCCGUUCCACCUGAAAUAUCCGUUCCAUCUGAACCACCUGUUCCACUAACACGCUUAGAAAGGUUCGAGAGUUGGCUUGAGCAGAGAAUUGUUAGUAUCAGUCACUUUUGCCGCACGGCCCAUCUCUUAACUGCUCAGAUCCUGCUAAGCUUUGCUUUUGCAGCAAUUUG